Molecule: ribosomal RNA, 400 nt
Filed under: uncultured bacterium
Lineage: Bacteria
Description: bacterial SSU rRNA
Rfam family: Bacterial small subunit ribosomal RNA
Source: RNAcentral
UGGGGAAUAUUGGACAAUGGGGGCAACCCUGAUCCAGCCAUGCCGCGUGAGUGAUGAAGGCCUUAGGGUUGUAAAGCUCUUUCGGCGGGGACGAUAAUGACGGUACCCGCAGAAGAAGCCCCGGCUAACUUCGUGCCAGCAGCCGCGGUAAUACGAAGGGGGCUAGCGUUGUUCGGAUUCACUGGGCGUAAAGCGCACGUAGGCGGACCUGUAAGUCGGGGGUGAAAGCCCAGGGCUCAACCCUGGAACUGCCUUCGAUACUGCAGGUCUCGAGUGUGGGAGAGGUUGGUGGAACUCCGAGUGUAGAGGUGAAAUUCGUAGAUAUUCGGAAGAACACCAGUGGCGAAGGCGGCCAACUGGCCCAUUACUGACGCUGAGGUGCGAAAGCGUGGGGAGCAAA